UACGUAGGGGGCAAGCGUUGUCCGGAUUUAUUGGGCGUAAAGAGCGUGUAGGCGGCCAGGCAGGUCCGCUGUGAAAACUCGAGGCUCAACCUCGAGAGGUCGGUGGAAACCGUCUGGCUAGAGUCCGGAAGAGGAGAGUGGAAUUCCCGGUGUAGCGGUGAAAUGCGCAGAUAUCGGGAAGAACACCCGUGGCGAAGGCGGCGCUCUGGACCGAGACUGACGCUGAGGCGCGAAAGCGUGGGGAGCAAACAGG
This 253-nucleotide ribosomal RNA is filed under the name uncultured bacterium. RNAcentral's name for it is "partial 16S ribosomal RNA". It matches the Rfam family "Bacterial small subunit ribosomal RNA", at positions 524 to 776 of the family's 1533-position model. The record is from RNAcentral.